CGUGGACUUGCUCCUGAAAUCAGCGGCGGANGGGUGAGUACACGUGGGUACCUGCCUGUAAGACUGGGAUAACUCCGGGAAACCGGGGCUAAUACCGGAUAACACCUACCCCCGCAUGGGGGAAGGUUGAAAGGUGGCUUCGGCUAUCACUUACAGAUGGACCCGCGGCGCAUUAGCUAGUUGGUGAGGUAAUGGCUCACCAAGGCGACGAUGCGUAGCCGACCUGAGAGGGUGAUCGGCCACACUGGGAACUGAGACACGGCCCAGACUCCUACGGGAGGCAGCAGUAGGGAAUCUUCCGCAAUGGACGAAAGUCUGACGGAGCAACGCCGCGUGAGUGAAGAAGGUUUUCGGAUCGUAAAACUCUGUUGUUAGGGAAGAACAAGUGCCGUUCGAAUAGGGCGGCGCCUUGACGGUACCUAACCAGAAAGCCACGGCUA
RNAcentral lists this ribosomal RNA (440 nucleotides) under Rossellomorea marisflavi. Its description in RNAcentral is "bacterial SSU rRNA". It matches the Rfam family "Bacterial small subunit ribosomal RNA", at positions 73 to 499 of the family's 1533-position model. The record is from RNAcentral. Lineage: Bacteria; Bacillati; Bacillota; Bacilli; Caryophanales; Bacillaceae.